AGGCAGCACAUUUCCAGACGUCCAUCCAAGCAAUUGUUCCACCAAGAGGCAUGCAAGUGAAGAUGAGCUGAGGAAGCGGCUGAAAUCCCAGGGGUCAGCAUUACUGUCAACCGGAGGUGCUCUGCGCAGCACUUCCUCUUCUGACUACAUCCAAGAGCCAAAGUUCUUUCAGUCAGGACAUCCUGGGCAAAAGACAUCUGGGUGCCUGGCAGAGAAAGCCUUGCCGUAUAGCAUGCUCAGCUUCCCCGAAGGCUCUUGCACUGUAUUAAGUCAAGAGCACAAAUCUAGUUCCUUACAUCAUACAGAGGCAGCCGAGCGGUAUAAAAGCCUCCAUAUCCAGAGCGGUGUCGAGUCUGAAGACUUGCUGGCAUCCGGUGUCCCUGCCUGCCCUGCUGACGUCCAAGACUUGGAGGAAACCACCACACAAGAUAGAGCUGCCAAAACUUUCUCCAAUGCCACAUUGGCCUCGGGGAGGUGUAACAUCGACAGCAUCAUCUCCCUGUUGAAAAGCAAGUGUGGCAACGGCAGAAUCAACCUCUACCCUGUGGUGCAGCUCAUAGACAUUAUGAAGGACAUUGACCGACUCUCCCAGGACCUGAAGAGCUGUGGCGUCCACUUAGACUGCAGUGGCUUGCAAUUUGAUAGCCACCUGCCGCUUAGUGAGGAAGGCCGGGGACAAGGUCUUCAUUAUAGCUUCUACUCCUCCCCCAUGUUGGCCAACAGCAUCCGCAGUCCCGAGGAGCUGGCAGUGCAAAGCAGCACCAAAGCUGAGCUCCUCAAGCAGACCCAAUCUGGCCAUUAUGCGGGAGAAACAGAAGGGGACACUCAAGGUGCCCAGGACCAAAUCAGCCAGAGAAGUCCUGUCCUGAAGGCUCCUAGUAGCCUUGAUGAAGCUAGCUCCGAGUCUGAGACGAAUGAUUAUCCUGAACUAACCAAUACGGAUAUCCUAAGCGAACUGGCUUCUUUGGCCUGUCCAGAACCUCAGUUAUUAGAUCAGCAUUCGGAAUCCCACCGUCAGCUGCUAGAAAGCCAAGGGGCUGAGUCAAGGUCUCAAUUAAUUGACUCACAGUCUCUAGAGCACCAGCCCCAGCUAGUAGAUUCCAAGUCUCUGGAGCCACCUCCAGAACCGUUGGCCCUGCAGACAGUGGAUCCCUUGCCUGCACCGCUGGGGCUGCAGCCUCUGGAACCUCUGGAGCUUCAGACUUUAGAACCUCUUUCUGAGUCACUAUCACUCCAGUCCCUAGAACCCCUUUCUGAGCCUCUAGGGCUCCAGUCUUUAGGGACCCUGGACCACCAGUUGCUUGAUUCCCAGUCCCAGCUCCUGGAUCCAGAGGCCCAGCUGCUUUCACCUUUGCCCAAGUUGCUAGACUCUCAGCCCCAUCUGGGAAGGCAGGAGUCUUCAGGAGAACACUCGCUACAACCUGGAGCCCGCCUUGGAGGCUGCUCCUUAAGAGGAGUAGUAAGGCGAGGGGCUGGGCGGGGAAGGGAUGAUCACAGGAAAUAUGCUCUACGGAGAACAGAUAAACCAAAGAUACUCUGUCGUCGUCGUAGGGGAGGCCGAGGGCAGCGAACAGAGAUUGUCACUGACAGCCAAGUCCUCCCCGUGGCUGUACCAGUGGAGGUGGUCAUGGCGCGACCAGAAGAAGCUAGGAUGCCAGUGACCACCAUUGCAGCAAAUCAAGUAGCAGAUCCCAUGGUUUCCACUUUGGAGUCAGAAGAUGGCCAGAAGGCUGCCGCCCUCCUGAAUCCCCCAAAGCCCAAAUGCCGUGGCAUACGUCGGAUGGUGGUAAAGAUGGCCAAGAUUCCCGUCUCUCUUGGGAGGAGGAAUAAGACGACGUACAAGGUCUCCUCCCUCAACAGUAGCUUGAAUGUAGAAGGCAAAGAGGUUGCAAUCUCCCCUUCUUUAGAGCCCACUCCACUGCUGAAGAUGAAAAACAAUGGCCGGAAUGUGGUGGUGGUCUUUCCUCCAGGAGAAAUGCCCAUCAUCCUGAAGCGGAAGAGGGGAAGGCCUCCCAAAAACCUGAUGCUGGGGCCCUGCAAACCUAAGGAGCCUGCCCCAGAAGUGAAGAAACGGAGGAGGAGGAAACAGAAGUUGGCAUCCCCACAGCCCUCUUACGUUGCAGACACCAAUGACAGUAAAGCAGACUAUUCAGAUGUACUGGCCAAGCUAGCUUUCCUCAACCGCCAGAGCCAGUGCUCCGCUCGUUGCUCCCCACCCCGCUGCUGGACCCCAAGCGAGCCCGACUCCAUCCACCAGGCUCCUGACACUCAGAGCAUCUCCCACUUUUUGCACCGAGUACAAGGGUUCCGCAGACGAGGCGGCAAAGGAGGUGGGUUUGGGCGUGGAGGGAGCCACUCUGCCCGUUCCUCUCGUUGCUCCUUCAGCGACUUCUUCGAAGGCAUUGGCAAAAAGAAGAAGGGGGUCCUGGGGACAGCCAUGCAUGUCGACCCCACUCAUCCCCGGAAGAGAGGCCGUCCAGAGCCGGACCCCAUGGAGAAGCCCAAAAGAAAGAGGCGAUCUCGCAAAAACGGGGUCUUGUUUCCUGAGCAGAACCCCAGCCAGAACUUCAGUGAUGGGUCCUCAGAAUGGUGUGGAGAAAAAGAAAGUCUUUGGAUGUCCCACCAAGGACACCUUUCCGGUCAAGCCAACAGGAAUUGCAGCUACCAAGGCAGCGAUUCCCGGACCUUCCACUCCUCAACCGUGGAGUCAAGUUCUUCAAGCCGAACUGGUUUUUAUGGGGGGAGCAAUCCAUCAUCCCAGUCUGAACUCAGCCAGGAAAGGCAGAACCUUUUCACGGGCUAUUUCCGUUCCCUGUUGGAUUCCGAUGACUCCUCUGACCUGUUGGACUUUGCCCUCUCCAAUUCUCGCUCUGCCUCACGGAAAUCCUCAACCACAUAUACAGCUCCGCCUAAUGCUAUCGCAACCCAGAGAGGCAUGGCGUCUUACUCAAGCCGGGGUGGGAAAGCCACACCUUCUUCCACCACCACAACCGUCACGAGCGAGGUGCCCUUCCACACAGUCAGCCGGCAGUCGUUCCCUCCCAACAGAGCAACAGGCUACAACCUGUCCCAGGCUGCUUCGGAGUGCCGUGACCCAGAUGCCUUCCAGAAGCUGGCAUCUCUCUCGGCUGUCUCCAGGUCUCCCACUACUCACUCCACCACAGCCUCCAGUUAUGCACAAUAUGGCAACUAUGGCAGUACUGGAGGACAAAGUGUGACUCCUGCCAGCUUGUUUCAGCAAGGGAAGUCCUACCACACCACCCAAGACUGUCCCAACAACAAGGAUUGCAGCUUCACCUAUGGUGGUGGCAACAGCCUGCCCUCCUCCCCAAGCAGUGCCCACAGCGUCAGCUACACCCAGCAGACUUCAGGGCCCAGCAUGUCCCUGAGUAAGCCCUCUUUCUUCAACAGCUCUGAUCCCAGCCAGUUCUCCAGCUCGUCUCACACCCCCAUGAGGUGUGACAGCCGGGCAAGCACUGUAUCGCCAGGGGGUUACAUGGUCCCUAAGAGUUCAAUCCCCUUCCAGCCCUCACCGGAGAACUGUAGGCAGUUUCCUAGUGCCUCUCAAUGGGCUUUCCGGCAAGGUUAUGGCCUGGACUGGAACCCUGAGUCCUUCAGUCAACUCUACAAUCCGGGCUUUGACUGCCACAUCAACGAACCCAACGUCAUCCUAGACAUCUCCAACUAUACACCCCAGAAGGCCAAGCAGCAGACGGUCUCGGAGACCUUCUCCGAAUCCUCCUCCGACAGUACCCAGUUCAACCAGCCAUCAGGCUACAGGAGGGCCAACAGUGAGGCUUCGUCUAGCGAAGGGCAGUCCAGCCUCUCUAGCUUGGAGAAGCUGAUGAUGGAUUGGAACGAGUCUUCUUCAGCCCCAGGUUAUAACUGGAACCAGAGCGUUUUAUUCCAAAGCAGCUCCAAACCAGGACGGGGCAGGCGAAAGAAAGUGGACAUAUUUGAUACUGCCCAUCUCAGUUUCUCCACGGGGGGCUACCCCUCCAAGAGAGGGACUGGUGCUCGGCAGCCUCGGGGUUCCCGGGGCGCCUGCACCUCCAAAAAAGAAAGAGGCACAGGCAAAGCUAAGUUCCCCACCAAAUCCCAGUCGGUCAACCCGCUGUUUCAAGACAGCACAGAUUUGGGGCUGGACUACUACAGCGGGGACAGCAGCAUGUCCCCUCUGCCUUCACAGUCCCGGAGCUUUGGGCUCAGCGAACGCGAUCCUUGUGACUACACAGGGCCCUACUCCAUGAAUCCUUCCACGCCUUCGGACGGCACCUUUGGGCAAGGGUUCCAGAGUGACUCGCCCAGCCUGGGGCAGACGGACUUGGAGAACAAGCAUUUCCCCACCCUGCCCCACCAGCUGGCUGCCCCGCCCUCUCAGCAGACGGUGUUCGAAGCCAGCUUGCAGAAAGCUUUCUCGCCCAACUGCUCCCCCACCCUGGCCUUCAAAGAGGACUUGCGGCCCAGUGACAUCCGGAAGCUUCCAGCCUGCGACUCGCUCAAACAUGGCAUCGCUGGGGUGGCCGGCUUGCCCCACUCGGCCCCCCACAUGGCCUGCCGGGACCUCUCCAUGUCUCAGCCUCACUAUGAUUCUCCCAGCUGUAAAAACCCCAGCUAUUGGUAUUCGCCCACGGCCAGCACCCGCAGCCCCCCCUACGACAACAAAGCCGGCGUGGGCAUGCUGCUAGACUUCAUGGGGAGGAGUCCCGAGGCUUCUUGCCUCAACCCCCAUUUGACCAGUCCCCCCAGCAGCAACCCUUCCAAGAGCGAGAAGGAGCCCAUGGACAUGGCAAGGGUUCAUCACCGAGGAGCCUAUAUUUGCCCCUUGAUGAAUGACUUAAAUAUCUCCCCGGUCCCGAGAGACUCGAUGCUGCCGCUGCAGGACAACUAUAGGUACCCCAGCUUUGCACCCCAAGGGCACCCAAUCAUGACCGCACCCCAGAAGAGCGCGUUUUUGGGUCCAAUGCUAGAACAGCAUCCCGAGGACACAUUCACAGUCACCUCCUUGUAGUGUCAUCUGAAGUGCCAACCAGACACGAGGUUUUGUUUCAGGAGCUACUUUAGCAGCACUUUUCUCUGGAACACUUUUCAAGUUCUGUAUUUAAUGGAAAUCAAAAACAAAACAAAAAAAACCCCCACCACACACACACGCACACACACACACAUAUAUGUAUGACAAAAAAAAAAAGACCCCUUUUUGUUCGCUCGUUUCUUGGUUGGUUCAUUUGCUUUUUUUUCUAAGAAAACAAAACAAAACAAAAAAGAAAAGAGAAAAAGAAAGACAAGAAGGAGGGAAAGAAGACAGAGGCGAACACCCCCACUCCACCCCUUUCUUUAAAAAACAAAGAGAAAGGGGGAAAAAAGAAAAUAUGAUGAAAAAAUCAAUAAACUUGCUUUCUUUGAUAAUGGCGGGGGGGGGGGGAGUUUUUGAAGCCGACCGGCGGGAGCUGUCUCAACCUACAGCCCAGCAAAAAGACAAUCGAAAAUCCUUGCAGAUGCUCAAGUCAAGAGUCACAAUGGAGGCUGCCAUAUCUCUGAGCCACCCACAACAUGCAGACAAGAAACACUCCAGAAGGCAACGGACAGAAACCAAGGACAUCCAGAGGGAAGGGGACAUUAAUUUUUGCUUUUUUUUUUUUUUUUAUGAUGGGGCAGAAGGUGUUGGGGAGGGAAAACUCUGUUGAUCUAUGAACGCCAAUGAAAACUCAUCAAGGAAGACUGAAGAUUGGGCAUUCUCUUCCUUCUUCACCUCUUCCUUCCCUUCCCUUAUGUCUCCCUCCUUUUUUUGCAGAUUUAUUUCAUUCCUUUUUUUUCUUCUUCUUCCCAGUGGUUGGUUGGUUGGUUUGCCUUUUUUUAAUUUUUUUUUUUUUACAAAAAAAGAAAAAGAAAAAAACUUUGUUGCUUAAUUUCUUUGGGGAGCCCAGAAGAUUUUACAAGUCUAUGAAUCAAUCUCGGAGACCACCACCUUCUCCCAUUUCUGUUACCCAAAGGAAGAAGAUUUCCUGUCUGCUCACCACCCUUGUUAUAAGCAUGCAACAGACCGGCUCCUUAUGACCUGUUUCUUUGCUGGAAUGGGGUGAGAGACAAGGAGAGAUCAACCAGGGAAGAUCACCAUCAUCACCACCACCACCGACCAAGAGAUUCCAGCAAAAUCACGGAAGACUUGCAUCGCCUUUUGGGGCGCUCUCCCCACGCUCUCUGUGUGGCUCCAACUCCUCUGUUACUGCUCCUCUCUGCCCCCUUAGUGCCGGAUGGAUCUGACUGGGAGAAGCUCGCAAGUUUUCUCCAUCGGAAAGCAACGAGGGAGGGUUGAGGGAAACAGGCCUUUUCUAUCUGCACAAAACCAGCAAUUGUAAAUACUUUUCAAAAAUGUAAAAAAAAGAAAAAGAAAAAUUACAAAAGAGCAAACACCAUGAAGAUGUAUACUCCCAUACAUUACACACACACACACAUACACACACUCAUUCAAAAUCUGAAAUGUUUUGAAGACAAAACAAAAAAUAAUAAUGGAGAGAAGAAAAAAAAAGGAGGCCAGAGAGUCAAAGCAGGAGAGAAGCUAAUUGUGUCGGAUAUGCACUGAGAAAUCUAUUUGCAGAUUGACAAAAAAAAAGUAACAAGAACCUAUUUAUUGUAUAUAAUGUUUUAUUAUAAAUCGUGAAUUGUAUAUUGCAUCUGUACAUCUGCUGUGGUUUUGUGAUGUGCAAAUUUCAGCAUGGGUUUCAUUGAGGUUUUCAGUUGCUUUUCUAUUGUUUUGGGGAGUUUUAAAAAAAAAAUUUUUUGUUUUGGGUUGUUUUUUUGUUUCGUUUUGGCAGGACACACCCAAAGACCCGAGUUUGUAUUAAAAAAAAAAAAAAAACUAGGGAAAAAAAAUAGACAAGCUAACACACCCUUUCGUUGAGGAAGGGAGGGGGGAGAGGGAGGGAGGGGAGGGGAGCAAAAGUUUUCUGAGUUCUCAUUGGCCACCUGUAAGCCCCAAUGAGUACAGUAAUCCUUCCUCCGCGUGCGCCCUUUUAUGCCAGUGCUGAGCUCAGGGUGGUGUGUGCGUGCGCGUGUACGCAUGCGUGCGACUCUUCCCCCCUCCCCACCCGCCUUUUGUCCUGCUCUCUAUUCCCUCCUUUUCCUGUUUUUUGGAAACUUCCGUACAGCUUUGUGGAUCGUGCAGAAAAAAAAACGAAAAAAAAAAAACCCCACCCCAUCCUGUGUUGUCCAUUUGUGCAUCUAAAUAUACCAGCCUUGGUAGUUGCUUGGAGACGAACACACUCAAAUCCUCCGGAUUGGCACCAUCUGAGCCGCUGCUGCUGCUGCUGCUUGCUUUGAUUCCUCUCCCUGGUCC
Non-coding RNA from Notechis scutatus (mainland tiger snake), 7333 nucleotides. The record is from RefSeq and is a predicted model, not a curated record. Lineage: Eukaryota; Metazoa; Chordata; Lepidosauria; Squamata; Elapidae.